AAUAAGUAAUAUGCUUUCUGGUUACGAUUUGGUGGGUUGUAACUAUAUUUUUUAUUUUUACAGUUCCAGAGGGAAGGAGCAAACCGCUUUGAGGAGUCCCUGUAUAAGAGACUAUUGGAUACUGAAGGGCUGUACUGCAGUGUCGGCUCUAGACUUGGCGAGGCCUUAGGCGAAACGCAUACAUGAGACACCACGGAGAACACCAUUAUUGAAGAAAAAAUAGCAGUUGACUUUGUGUAUAAGAAGCUGUAGAUAUAUUGAUGGUGGAGCUCAGUGGCGUAUCCUGGUUUUGUGCUGCCCUAGGCAGGACAAAACUCAGGCGCCCCUCUCCCCCCCGCCUUCUAAAUACACACACACACACAUUCACUGACAGAUACGCAUACAUUAGCUAACAGAAACAGACACACACACACUCACACUCACUAACAGACACACACAGCCCCCCCAGACUCCUUACCUUUGGUAAUGCUGGGGGGGUUCUCUAUCUCCCUGGGGUCUAGUGGGGCUGCUGGGCUGGUUGCUGGGGGGCGGGAGGGCAGCUGGCAAGGGAGCACUGACUCUGAGCUGUCUGCUCAGCUCCCUCGCGCGCCAGUGACGUCAUGUUCCGGCUCCCAGCCUCACUCUGCGGCGCGCGAGGGAGCUGAGCAGACAGCUCAGAGGAAGUGCUCCCUCGCCCGCCAGCCCAGCAUGUCAGUUAGCCGCAAGGCUAACAAGGCAUGUGCCCUGGGCAUUUGGGGGCGUCUUUUUUUGCCGCCCCCUGGAAAAUCUCGCCCAAGGCAAAUGCCUUGUUUGCCUCGUGGCUAAUAAGUCCCUGGUGGAGCUUGCAGCACUGGAUACACAGAGCUAGUCUCUGUAUACAUCGUUGCAUAGUCUACCUGAGUGUGUGUAUCUGACAGUGAGUAUCCUUGUAUCUGUAUGUAUGUUUCUCUGAGCAUGUGUAUGUUUGUGUACUGACUUGCCUUUGGAACUGAGUUUAUGGCGAAGCUAUGUUUUAUGACGGUGUGUAUAAUGAUUGCCUUUGGGGGGGUGACAGGGUGAGUAAAGGGGUAACUGUGGCAGGGUGAGUGUAAAAGAGCAGGAGGGUGCUAGCGUGUUGAGGGUUGACAGUGUGUAUGGAGGGAGGUGGCAGAGUGUGGAGAGUGGUGACAUAGUGUGAGAGGGGGGGUGAUGAGGUG
RNAcentral lists this long non-coding RNA (1175 nucleotides) under Pelobates cultripes (western spadefoot toad). The record is from RNAcentral. Lineage: Eukaryota; Metazoa; Chordata; Amphibia; Anura; Pelobatidae.